RNA transcript from Solenopsis invicta (red fire ant), 2146 nucleotides. RefSeq lists it as uncharacterized. The transcript has 3 exons. The record is from RefSeq and is a predicted model, not a curated record. Lineage: Eukaryota; Metazoa; Arthropoda; Insecta; Hymenoptera; Formicidae.
ACUCCUAAAAUGUCAUUCAAAAAUUAAGUAUUCUCAAAAGUAACUGUGUUAAUUCCGUAAUUGAGAUUAACGCUGUGUUAAAUGUUGAAUACGUGUGAAAGUGUCUACAAACAUUUCAGCACUAAAUAAAAAUAAUUUCUUUUUAAAUUUUAAAAUAAAAAUGCAAUUAUUUAAUAAUAUACAUUCUUAAAUAAAAAACACGCUUAAAAUGUGUUUUUAAAUAAAUGCAAAAUUCAUAAUACUUUCAUGAUAUAAUCAAUUAAGGACUCUGUCUUAUUGCGAAGACAUUUUACAUUAAUUUGAAUAAAGGUUGUGUUUAUACAGGACUCUAAUACUAAAGUUCGGAUCUCGUCUCACAUUUUUCCCCACUCCUAGCGCCGCACGCCUGCGCGUCGUGAAAAGCAGGGCCGCCAUAUGAGUGACAGUGUAGCGGUGUACGUGUCUAUUGCGUAGCAAACGAGAAACCAUCGCAUGCCGCCCUAGCUGUUUCCCGCUUAUUUCUCUCAGCGUGCAACGUGCGGUGCUUAAAGUGGAAGAAAACAAUCACACAUCACAUGCGUUGGAAGUGAUUGAAAAACAAUUGUCGGGUCGUCGUUCGUCGUCAGUCGUCGUCGUAUAUACUCGUAUAUUUGGACGUCUUUGUACGUGUUUGUUACAAAAAGUUUUUCUCUGCUGAAUUGCAAAUGCAAUUAUCUUUAGACUUUGUGUUUAUACUGCGUCAUUACAUGAUCUUUAAUUCAUUUUUAUACUUUGGAAAGUUUCUGCUUUAAUUCGUGCAAGAGAAGUCGAGUGAAUAAGUGAAAAUUUUGUUAUAUAUAUCAUUAUUGCUUGAAACAAAAAAGGAAAGAAAUGGAAAGCAAACUCUUAAUAGACAAUAAAUCGUGCGUACUCGUGGAAUUUUCAAACGAAGAGGAGGCUUUAGCCAUAGGUUAUAAAUGUUGGCUAAAUGAAACCGUUACCGAAGAGGAACUCAAUAAUAUUAUUGAAAGCAAAAGAGAGGUGGAAAUAAUGUGGCCAAAAUGUGAUGUACACUCAGCCCGUAAAAUGAAAAACAUAUUGAAAGGUUUAACACAGGAACAGUGAGAAAUACAUGCUAUUAAAGUUCUUGGAUUUGGUGGGGAGUAAUUAUUUAAAAAUAAAUUAUUUUAAUCGCCCAUGAACUUUUAAAAUAUAGGUUAUGUACAUAGAAGCAAUAAAACUGGACAAGCAUGAGUGCUGAAUUAGAUUUGUUACAAAAAAACGACGUUCUCUGUACAACGAAGCAGUAUAGGCAUCUGAUUAUAAAAAGAACUUUUGCGUCUACAGGCAAGAGAGACAAAUCUAUUAAAAAGGUUUUUGUAUUUAUAUUUUAAAUUUGUUUUAGCUGAAUUAAAGUAUUUUAUUAUUAUCUUGGAUAACUUCUUUGAUAAUUUACAUGCAAACUGACAUCAAAUUUGAUUAAAUAUGACUAUAGCCAUAUAUUAUAUUUUUUGUUCGUCUGCUUGUUGUUAUCAAAAAUCUUUGGCAUGUUCUGUUUAAAAUUUGCUCUGUAAAUUUUGUUAACUGUUAUUUUGUAUAACAUUAAAAUUGAAGAUACUAAAGAUGAAAAUAUCGUAAAUGAGGAUGAUAUAUUAAAUGAUGAUAUUGAACCACAUAAUUUGGAAAGCUCAUUGGUAAAUUAUAUAGUUUUACUAAUAUUUAUAUAUCUUAAAUUUUUUAAAAUAACUUUUACAUUAAUGUAUAUCUUCUUUAAAUAUUAGAAGAAUACUUGUUAGACAUUACAAAACUAUCUGAUUCAAGAGGAAUAAACACACACACACACACACACACACAUUUUUACAGUACUAAAUAGAAAUACUUUUUGUCUAAAUUAUAAAUUUUGUUUGUAUUUUUAUACAAAGGUAAAUCUAGGAUAUAAAGUUAAAUCACAUGAAAAUAUUUUGAAGGAAAAAAUUCGAAAAAAAGACAAGAGACAUCUGUUAUUGGAUCUACUAAAUUCUUUGUAUACAAAAGAAGAUUUUGCUACCUGUUCCAGAAGUGGGUAAAAAAAGAAAAUCGAAAAUUAGACAAAAGAAAACAAAAAGCUAUAGUGGACUAUGCUGUCAAGAUACAUGCACAAAAAGACAAACAGGAAAUCGAGGUUUUGUUAAAGAUCAUUGAAAAUAAA